This 22-nucleotide non-coding RNA is filed under the name Arabidopsis thaliana (thale cress). The record is from RNAcentral. Lineage: Eukaryota; Viridiplantae; Streptophyta; Magnoliopsida; Brassicales; Brassicaceae.
CCAAUAACAGAUGUUAAGUCGC